UAAAAUAUAAGAAAUAAUUGAAUUAACAAUAUCGUCACCUUAACUUAACAUACUAACCAUAUAAAAGUGGACUCCAACUUUGAUAAAUAAAAGAUGAAUAUCUCUUUUGUUCCUCUCUGUUAAAGUUCUAUUUGAACUCCUCAUUUUCCUCCCUAGUGGAGUCUCACAUUUGCACCUUUUGGGGAGCCCAUUUGACCGAUCACAAUGCUUUGGGGUGUCAUCAAGAUGACUGGCAACCACCAACCACCAACCACCAUCCAUAACUAGUCUAUCUACAUAGCCAACCAGCAAAUCUCUGUAAAAAAUUAUAUUCUCCAAAUGAGAUGGGGUAUUCAAUAUAAAAGAAUGAAGACAAGGGAUAAACUUACUGAAAAGAAAAUAGUAAUGACAAGGAGCAAAGAUUGGAAGAAAAAAUGACGCGUGAGUGUGAAAGUAGAUGAAUUCAAAGACGUGUUCAGAAUAUUUAUGAAAAGAGAAAAAACAGCUAGGUGUUUCCUCUCGAACCAACUACCGUGGCAGCUAUAGAUCCAAUCUCAUUGUUGCAACACAUCUAAAAGAAAGAAUAAUAAACCGUUAUUAAAGUACUGGACUCAGAAGGAUCUAACUCCACACCUCAACCCUUAACAUUUGAAUAGCAAAAGUUACAUUUAAGAAAAAGUUGAGACCUUCAUAAUGACAUCUUCCUCAUGCUUUGGUGCUAGCAGAAAUUUUGGUGAUGACCAGGCAUUGACCCUCAACCCCCUCCUCUCCCCCAAGAGUUCAGGGAGAAGGUGGAGCUUACAAUAUGCACAUGGGCAAGUUCAUCUCCCAGCGGAAAGUCAAUAUGGGCAAGGUGAAAGGUGGCAUCCGUUGAGCCUGGCUGUAGAUCAGAGGGAUGACCAUCGAUGAGGCCAGGGACUACAAGUUUGAGUAUGAGAAGGUGUCAUACGGGGGUAAGUUUUGUGAGAGAAUGGGCCACCUGAUCCAUGAUUGCAAGUGGAAGAAAAAGAGGAAGACGCAACUAAAGAACUGAGGGGACAUAGAGGGAAAGAAGCGGUGGUGGAGGACGAUGCGUUAUCGCCUCGUCUGAAGAUGGAAGAAAUGCGCUCUCCUAUGCCUGGCUUUGCGUGGCUCCACUUCCGAGAUGUGCACAAGAGAGAGGAAUUACCUGCCUAUCACACAAUGACUCCCUUGUCAGUGACUACUCGCUCAACGGAAACAACCCCUAUAUCAUAGGUUUUGAUUGGUCACAUACACAUCAUCAUUGUCUAAUCUAGUUAUGCCUAUCUUAUCCUAAUCUUUACUAUAGAUUACUCGCUACUGUACAACCAUCAAAAGAAAAUCCAAUCAUAGGAUUCUACAUCAUCUAUCUAUAGUUCUACCUUGGAUAAGGCAGUAACUAAACAUGAACCCUAAUCUGUGACCCUAAUCUAAAUGUGAGCUUUCAACCCUUCCAAAAACAUCUGCU
RNAcentral lists this long non-coding RNA (1447 nucleotides) under Linum usitatissimum (flax). Its description in RNAcentral is "long non-coding RNA (LUSI_LNC006213)". The record is from RNAcentral. Lineage: Eukaryota; Viridiplantae; Streptophyta; Magnoliopsida; Malpighiales; Linaceae.